This is a long non-coding RNA of Felis catus (domestic cat), 2286 nucleotides long. RefSeq lists it as uncharacterized. Lineage: Eukaryota; Metazoa; Chordata; Mammalia; Carnivora; Felidae. The transcript is spliced from 7 exons. The record is from RefSeq and is a predicted model, not a curated record.
UGGGUGGAGGGAGAGGUGGUUCAAGCCCUGAGGCAGUGAGCGACUCCAAGGCAGGACUUAAAGGGCUUUGUCGGAGACUUAGGCGGGGCGACGGGGACGUGACGUGUUACGCGCCAUGACGUGUACGGCGUGAGGGGCGUGGCGAGUCGCGACGGGACGUGGCUAAGAUGGCCGCGCGCAUGAGUCUCUCCCCGGCGCUGAGUGGAGGGGGUCCACUCUCAGGGAAAUAUUCGGGUUAUUAGGUUCCUGCACGUUAUUUCGGGCCUGAUCAACAUUUCAAGCUAAACAUGGUGGUGAUGAGUAUCCUCAGGGCCAUUCUGCAAGCCUCUCCAUGCAGGUCACCGUGGAGAAGAUUCCAGAUCCCCAGCUCCGUGCCGGCGAGGCCCUGCAGCCUCUACACCUGCACGUACAAAACCCGGAACCGAGCCUUGCACCCGCUCUGGGAGAGCGUGGACCUGGUCCCGGCGGGCAAGCGCCAGUCGCCCAUCAACAUCCGGUGGAGGGACAGUGUCUACGAUCCUGGCUUAAAACCACUCACCAUCUCUUACGACCCGACCACCUGCCUCCACGUCUGGAAUAACGGGUACUCCUUCCUCGUGGAAUUUGAAGAUUCUACAGAUAAAUCAGCUGCACUCGGUGCAUCAGAAUGCAGUCACAUUUCAAAGCUUUGAGGAUGCAGCAACUGGAGGAAGGUGAUUUCACUACGAUAGGAAUAUUUUUAAAGAUGAAGUGAAGCUCGAUGAAGUUAAGUGCUCUCCUGCCACGUCAUGCAGUUAUCCGCUGGAGAAGUCAACGGCAAAGCUGUGGACCACACUCUGUGCGGUGCCUGUCAGCUCCUGUAGCUUCAGCAGCUACACAUCACAAAGAGCUGCAGAAAUUGGUGGAUACUUUGCCAUCAAUCAAGCAUAAGGACACCCUUGUGGAAUUUGGGUCAUUUGACCCUUCCUGCCUGAUGCCUGCCUGCCCAGAUUACUGGACCUACUCGGGGUCCCUGACUACCCCGCCCCUCUCCGAGUCUGUCACCUGGAUCAUUAAGAAGCAGCCCGUAGAGGUUGAUCACGAUCAGGUAUGUUCUUUCCACCUUUCUGUAUGAGGACAUGCUAGUCUGCCCCUUUAACACAAGGCUGGGCUCAAACUUUGGCAUCGGUUUGGAACAUCUUGUAAUGCUUCUACAUUUUUAUUAAAAUGCGCUAACAUCUUAUCUCAGUUUGGACAUGAAUUUGGAGAUACUUCAAAUUAACUGGAGAGAGGAGUUAAAACGUAGAAGAGCAUAAGCUUUUUGCUUUCAUUUUGGACAAUAUCCUGUCUUUUACCAUAUAUACGUUGUGUAGAAUCUCUGUAAAAAUUAAGACUUUUAAAUGAAAGGCAAAUACCAUAUGAUUUCACUCCUAUGUGGAAUUUACAAAACACAACAGAUGAACAUAGGGGAAAUAAGAUAAAAAGAGAGAGGGAACAAACCAUAAGAGACUUCUAAAGACAGAGAACAAACUGAGGGUUGCUGGAGGGAUGGUGGGUGGAGGGAUGGGCCGAAUGGGUGAUGGGCAUUAAGGAGGGCACUCGUUGGGAUGAGUACUGGGUGUCAUACGUAAGUGCUGAGUCAGUUGGUUCUACUCCUGAAACCAAUACUACACUGUAUGUUAACUAACUUGAAUUUAAAGAAAUAAAUUUUAAAAACUAAAUGAAUGGAAAAAUGAAGGCUGGAAAUGACUGUGUUCAAAACCCUUUGAUUUUCUUUUCUUUAUUAUUGUAUUGGACACACCAUGUUACAUUAGUUUCAGGCAUACAGCAUGGUGAUUUGACAACUCCAUAUGUUAGGCUGUGCUCACCACAAGUGUAGUCAACAUCUGUCAUCAUACAACUCUAUUACACUACCAUUGACUGUUUUCCCUGUGUUUUGUUUUUUCUUUUACCUUUCAAUCCCCAUGGCUUAACUAAUUUCCUUAAUUACUAAUUUUCCCCAUGACAUCACUAGAAUCCUAUACCUCCCUCUCCCUUUGACCCAUUUUUCCCAUUCCCCCCAAUACUCCCCUCCCCUCUGGCAACCUUCAUACAUAGUUUGUUCUCUGUAUUUAUGCAAAAACCCUUAAUUUUCUUAAGAGAAGCUUGCUGUGGAAUUUCAAGGUAAAGAUAGAACCCGACAAUGUCAAUACAGAAAUUUUACUCAGUCAAAAAUUUUGACUUGGUAUUUGUUUUCGUUUAGAAUCUAAGUUUAAGUGGUGGGUACUACAUGAACACGCAAAAUGUUUAAUUUAUAAGUGAAUUAAACAGUAAUAAUAAUUGCUUGUA